ACAUUCCUGGGGCGGCCGGCCUCUGCCCCCAGGUGGGCCUGCACCCACUCUAUCCGUCCGCCAGCAUCAGCACCAUCCAAGACCUCCCCGUGGCAGCUGCCUUUGUGGUCCCCACUCCGUCCGUACCAAGCCCCAGAGCUUCUUUCCUCACGCUAAGCAGACCUGCUGACACAAAAGUUCCCAUCACUCCCGGGCCGUGGCCUCCUCCGCCCGAGGCCCCUUACAUUCUAGAUCCUAGGAAAUAUGUGGACGUGUCCUAGAAACCAGGUUCUAGUCCAGGAGAGCUUGAGGCAGGCCCGCCCUUGAGGACCCAGGGGAUACAGCUCCUAGCUCUCAUCCUUCUCAACAACUUCUCCCGGUCUGCACCAGGCUCUUAAAACACAGGGACUCACUGCUCUCCCUGCUCGCUAGCCCUGCAACCAAGAUUCCAGUCCUUCUCCGACCACGGGCCUCUGUUCUCCCACGCUACUUCCGGAUCCUUGAGCAGAGGAUAAUGGCUAUUUGUCUCUGCCUCUGUUCUGGAGGGACUGAAGUGAGGUCCUCGCCAGCGUGGGGAGCAAAUGGUUUUGGUCACAGCUCAGACAUUUAAAUGUCCAGGCACCAGACCUUUGGAAUUAGUGAAAAGAGCAAAGGACCAUUCAAAGUCAGGAGUCCUGGUUUUCGUCCCAUCUCAGGCACCAAAACUUGCUACUUAACCUACUUCUCUGGGUAUAUAACAAAGUAGCUAGAGCUGCUUCGGGACUGUGUUGUGCUGUGGGCGCCAUCUAUCGGCCAAGAGAGGCACUGCCUCCGUGGUGCCGGCGUCCCAACUCGAUUCUGAAGUCAUCUCGUCCCUCCCUCAGCUUCGUGUCUCAUGAUCUCUGCAGGGAUUUGGGGAGAGGGAAUAGCGGAGGAAGGAAAGCGAUCAGAGUAACAAGGAUGGAGAGCCAGCCGGAAGGGCCCUUGGAGAGGGAUGCCUCCAUCUCCAUCCCCAUUCUGUGGCCAAGAAGGGACGUGACUGGGCCCAAACCACAGAGGUGGUAACAGAAGAAUCUAGAAGCUAGUCCCCAGUCUGUCUUUUCUGUCUUCCCUCUCUCAACAAUCGGAAACAUUCUCAUCAUUUACUCAAUGCAGAUGACUCUGGUGUCUAGCUCUGACCACUCCCCACCGUGCCAGACCAGUAUCUCCAGCUAUUCAUUGGUGAGCUCCACCGGAAUGUUUCACCACUGAAAUUAUAACAUGUUCCUCGCUGAAUUCAUCCUCUGCUUUCCCCCACAACAAUGGCCAGUGACCAACAAUAUGCCAGAAUGAAAUGUCCCCAUACCCCAGAGGGGAAGACUGAGGUACAAACCCUGAACCUUGGGGGCUGAAAAAUAAACUAAAAAAAGAAUCAUGGAACAAUGGGGGAAAUUAAAAAUUAAAUAAAAUUAUAAAGA
Monodelphis domestica (gray short-tailed opossum) is the source of this 1415-nucleotide long non-coding RNA. RefSeq lists it as uncharacterized. The record is from RefSeq and is a predicted model, not a curated record. NCBI's taxonomy places the organism in Eukaryota, Metazoa, Chordata, Mammalia, Didelphimorphia, Didelphidae.